AUCGCUUCUCGGCCUUAUGGCUAAGAUCAAAGUCUAGUAUAGGUUCUUAUCAGCUUAACAUCUGAUAGAUCCUCCAUCGGAGGACAACAAAUGUUAAACUGAUUUUUGGAAAUCGACGGAGUUUUUUAGGAGCUUGCCCCACCUCAUAGGAAUCCUCAAAGCUUUUUUAUAAUAGUGGUACUCUGAGUGCGUCAUU
Small nuclear RNA from Bactrocera neohumeralis, 196 nucleotides. RefSeq annotates it as U2 spliceosomal RNA. The transcript has a single exon. The record is from RefSeq and is a predicted model, not a curated record. NCBI's taxonomy places the organism in Eukaryota, Metazoa, Arthropoda, Insecta, Diptera, Tephritidae.